GGGUCCGUAGGCGGACUCGUAAGUCAGUGGUGAAAUCUCAUAGCUUAACUAUGAAACUGCCAUUGAUACUGCGGGUCUUGAGUAAGGUAGAGGUAGCUGGAAUAAGUAGUGUAGCGGUGAAAUGCAUAGAUAUUACUUAGAACACCAAUUGCGAAGGCAGGUUACCAUGUCUUAACUGACGCUGAUGGACGAAAGCGUGGGGAGCGAACAGGAUUAGAUACCCUGGUAGUCCACGCCGUAAACGAUGCUAACUCGUUUUUGGGUUUUCGGAUUCAGAGACUAAGCGAAAGUGAUAAGUUAGCCACCUGGGGAGUACGUUCGCAAGAAUGAAACUCAAAGGAAUUGACGGGGGCCCGCACAAGCGGUGGAUUAUGUGGUUUAAUUCGAUGAUACGCGAGGAACCUUACCAAGGCUUAAAUGGGAAUUGACAGGUUUAGAAAUAGACUUUUCUUCGGACAAUUUUCAAGGUGCUGCAUGGUUGUCGUCAGCUCGUGCCGUGAGGUGUUAGGUUAAGUCCUGCAACGAGCGCAACCCCUGUCACUAGUUGCUAGCAUUAAGUUGAGGACUCUAGUGAGACUGCCUACGCAAGUAGAGAGGAAGGUGGGGAUGACGUCAAAUCAUCACGGCCCUUACGCCUUGGGCCACACACGUAAUACAAUGGCCAGUACAGAGGGCUGCUACCAGGCGACUGGAUGCUAAUCUCGAAAGCUGGUCUCAGUUCGGAUUGGAGUCUGCAACUCGACUCUAUGAAGCUGGAAUCGCUAGUAAUCGCGCAUCAGCCAUGGCGCGGUGAAUACGUUCCCGGGCCUUGUACACACCGCCCGUCAAGCCAUGGAAGUCUGGGGUACCUGAAGUCGGUGACCGUAAUAGGAGCUGCCUAGGGUAAAACAGGUAACUAGGGCGAAG
RNAcentral lists this ribosomal RNA (906 nucleotides) under Chryseobacterium soli. Its description in RNAcentral is "bacterial SSU rRNA". It matches the Rfam family "Bacterial small subunit ribosomal RNA", at positions 565 to 1485 of the family's 1533-position model. The record is from RNAcentral. Lineage: Bacteria; Pseudomonadati; Bacteroidota; Flavobacteriia; Flavobacteriales; Weeksellaceae.